GACCUGCGGAAGGAUCAUUACAUAGAAUCUAGGCCCUAAGCUGUAGGAAUACUGCCCAUGGGCUUCUUCUAUUACCCUUGGUUUUUGAGUACUUGUGUUUCCUUGGUGGGCUUGCCCGCCAAUAGGACAAACUAUUAAACCUUUUUAAUUUUCAAUCAGCGUCUGAACAAAUGUAAUAAUUACAACUUUCAACAACGGAUCUCUUGGUUCUGGCAUCGAUGAAGAACGCAGCGAAAUGCGAUAAGUAGUGUGAAUUGCAGAAUUCAGUGAAUCAUCGAAUCUUUGAACGCACAUUGCGCCCCUUGGUAUUCCAUGGGGCAUGCCUGUUCGAGCGUCAUUUGUACCCUCAAGCUCUGCUUGGUGUUGGGUGUUUGUCCUCUCCAUUGUGUUUGGACUCGCCUUAAAGCAAUUGGCAGCCAGUGUAUUGGUUUUAAGCGCAGCACAUUUUGCGUCUUGCUCCCUAUAACACUUGCGUCCAUUAAGCCUAUUUUAUCACUUUUGACCUCGGAUCAGGUAGGGAUACCCGCUGAACUUAAGCAUAUCAAUAAGCCGGAGGAA
Molecule: ribosomal RNA, 558 nt
Filed under: Pleosporales sp. G9i86H
Lineage: Eukaryota; Fungi; Ascomycota; Dothideomycetes; Pleosporales
Description: eukaryotic LSU rRNA
Rfam family: 5.8S ribosomal RNA (bases 184-337)
Source: RNAcentral